GAUGAACGCUGGCGGCGUGCCUAAUACAUGCAAGUCGAGCGAACAGACGAGGAGCUUGCUCCUCUGACGUUAGCGGCGGACGGGUGAGUAACACGUGGAUAACCUACCUAUAAGACUGGGAUAACUUCGGGACACCGGAGCUAAUACCGGAUAAUAUAUUGAACCGCAUGGUUCAAUAGUGAAAGACGGUUUUGCUGUCACUUAUCGAUGCAUCCGCGCCGCUUUAGCUAGUUGUUAAGGUAACGGCUUACCAAGGCAACGAUGCGUAGCCGAACUGAGAGAGUGAUAGGCCACACUGGAACUGAGACAGGGACAAGAGGACUAAGGGAGGCAGCAGUAGGGAAUCUUCCGCAAUGGGCGAAAGCAUGACGGAGCGACGCCGCGUGAGUGAUGAAGGUGUUCGGAGCGUAAAACUCUGUUAUUAGGGAAGAACAAAUGUGUAAGUAACUAUGCACGUCGUGACGGUACCUAAUCAGAAAGCCACGGCUAACUACGUG
This 497-nucleotide ribosomal RNA is filed under the name uncultured bacterium. Its description in RNAcentral is "partial 16S ribosomal RNA". It matches the Rfam family "Bacterial small subunit ribosomal RNA", at positions 28 to 507 of the family's 1533-position model. The record is from RNAcentral.